This 1442-nucleotide ribosomal RNA is filed under the name uncultured organism. RNAcentral's name for it is "SSU rRNA". It matches the Rfam family "Bacterial small subunit ribosomal RNA". The record is from RNAcentral.
UGAACGCUAGCUACAGGCUUAACACAUGCAAGUCGAGGGGCAGCAUGGUCUUAGCUUGCUAAGGCCGAUGGCGACCGGCGCACGGGUGAGUAACACGUAUCCAACCUGCCGUCUACUCUUGGACAGCCUUCUGAAAGGAAGAUUAAUACAAGAUGGCAUCAUGAGUCCGCAUGUUCACAUGAUUAAAGGUAUUCCGGUAGACGAUGGGGAUGCGUUCCAUUAGAUAGUAGGCGGGGUAACGGCCCACCUAGUCUUCGAUGGAUAGGGGUUCUGAGAGGAAGGUCCCCCACAUUGGAACUGAGACACGGUCCAAACUCCUACGGGAGGCAGCAGUGAGGAAUAUUGGUCAAUGGGCGCAGGCCUGAACCAGCCAAGUAGCGUGAAGGAUGACUGCCCUAUGGGUUGUAAACUUCUUUUAUAAAGGAAUAAAGUCGGGUAUGGAUACCCGUUUGCAUGUACUUUAUGAAUAAGGAUCGGCUAACUCCGUGCCAGCAGCCGCGGUAAUACGGAGGAUCCGAGCGUUAUCCGGAUUUAUUGGGUUUAAAGGGAGCGUAGAUGGAUGUUUAAGUCAGUUGUGAAAGUUUGCGGCUCAACCGUAAAAUUGCAGUUGAUACUGGAUAUCUUGAGUGCAGUUGAGGCAGGCGGAAUUCGUGGUGUAGCGGUGAAAUGCUUAGAUAUCACGAAGAACUCCGAUUGCGAAGGCAGCCUGCUAAGCUGCAACUGACAUUGAGGCUCGAAAGUGUGGGUAUCAAACAGGAUUAGAUACCCUGGUAGUCCACACGGUAAACGAUGAAUACUCGCUGUUUGCGAUAUACUGCAAGCGGCCAAGCGAAAGCGUUAAGUAUUCCACCUGGGGAGUACGCCGGCAACGGUGAAACUCAAAGGAAUUGACGGGGGCCCGCACAGGCGGAGGAACAUGUGGUUUAAUUCGAUGAUACGCGAGGAACCUUACCCGGGCUUAAAUUGCAGAUGAAUUACGGUGAAAGCCGUAAGCCGCAAGGCAUCUGUGAAGGUGCUGCAUGGUUGUCGUCAGCUCGUGCCGUGAGGUGUCGGCUUAAGUGCCAUAACGAGCGCAACCCUUGUUGUCAGUUACUAACAGGUUCCGCUGAGGACUCUGACGAGACUGCCAUCGUAAGAUGUGAGGAAGGUGGGGAUGACGUCAAAUCAGCACGGCCCUUACGUCCGGGGCUACACACGUGUUACAAUGGGGGGUACAGAGGGCCGCUACCACGCGAGUGGAUGCCAAUCCCAAAAACCUCUCUCAGUUCGGACUGGAGUCUGCAACCCGACUCCACGAAGCUGGAUUCGCUAGUAAUCGCGCAUCAGCCACGGCGCGGUGAAUACGUUCCCGGGCCUUGUACACACCGCCCGUCAAGCCAUGGGAGCCGGGGGUACCUGAAGUGCGUAACCGCGAGGAGCGCCCUAGGGUAAAACUGGUGAAU